RNAcentral lists this transfer RNA (75 nucleotides) under Evansella cellulosilytica DSM 2522. Its description in RNAcentral is "tRNA-Val (GAC) (tRNA-Val-GAC-2-1)". Lineage: Bacteria; Bacillati; Bacillota; Bacilli; Caryophanales; Bacillaceae. The record is from RNAcentral.
ACCUGUUACAAUAGAAAUGCACCCUCCACUUUGACAGGGUGGAGGUCACUGGUUCGAACCCAGUACGGGUCACCA